RNAcentral lists this ribosomal RNA (467 nucleotides) under uncultured bacterium. RNAcentral's name for it is "partial 16S ribosomal RNA". It matches the Rfam family "Bacterial small subunit ribosomal RNA", at positions 28 to 507 of the family's 1533-position model. The record is from RNAcentral.
GAUGAACGCUGGCGGCGUGCUUAACACAUGCAAGUCGAACGGAAAGGCCCAAGCUUGCUUGGGUACUCGAGUGGCGAACGGGUGAGUAACACGUGGGUGAUCUGCCCUGCACUUCGGGAUAAGCCUGGGAAACUGGGUCUAAUACCGGAUAGGACCACUUCUUGGAUGUUGUGGUGGAAAGUUUUUUCGGUGUGGGAUGAGCUCGCGGCCUAUCAGCUUGUUGGUGGGGUAAUGGCCUACCAAGGCGUCGACGGGUAGCCGGCCUGAGAGGGUGUACGGCCACAUUGGGACUGAGGUACGGCCCAGACUCCUACGGGAGGCAGCAGUGGGGAAGAUUGCACAAUGGGCGCAAGCCUGAUGCAGCGACGCCGCGUGGGGGAUGACGGCCUUCGGGUUGUAAACUCCUUUCGCUAGGGACGAAGCGUUUUGUGACGGUACCUGGAGAAGAAGCACCGGCUAACUACGUG